GAUGAACGCUGGCGGCGUGCUUAACACAUGCAAGUCGAACGAUGAAGCCCAGCUUGCUGGGUGGAUUAGUGGCGAACGGGUGAGUAACACGUGAGUAACCUGCCCUUGACUCUGGGAUAAGCCCGGGAAACUGGGUCUAAUACCGGAUAGGAGCGCCUGUCGCAUGACGGGUGUUGGAAAGAUUUUUCGGUCAUGGAUGGACUCGCGGCCUAUCAGCUUGUUGGUGAGGUAAUGGCUCACCAAGGCGACGACGGGUAGCCGGCCUGAGAGGGUGACCGGCCACACUGGGACUGAGACACGGCCCAGACUCCUACGGGAGGCAGCAGUGGGGAAUAUUGCACAAUGGGCGGAAGCCUGAUGCAGCGACGCCGCGUGAGGGAUGACGGCCUUCGGGUUGUAAACCUCUUUCAGUAGGGAAGAAGCGAAAGUGACGUACCUGCAGAAGAGCCC
Molecule: ribosomal RNA, 450 nt
Filed under: Micrococcus sp. oral taxon F54
Lineage: Bacteria; Bacillati; Actinomycetota; Actinomycetes; Micrococcales; Micrococcaceae
Description: bacterial SSU rRNA
Rfam family: Bacterial small subunit ribosomal RNA
Source: RNAcentral